UUGCUUAUCCUUUUGGUUCUGCUGGUCUUACUGGUUGUCAAAGCUCUGAUCUUGGUCACCAAAACUGCUCUCCGUCUAAACUCGAUUAUCGAUCAUCAACACACAAACAAUCGGAGACAACAUACAUGAAGCAAACAAUGCUAUAAUUAGAACAGGACACCAAUCAUAUAAAAACAAAAUGAAAAUUUUAUAAAAUAAUUUUACGCGUCGCUACGAUC
This 218-nucleotide long non-coding RNA is filed under the name Sorghum bicolor (sorghum). RNAcentral describes it as "long non-coding RNA (SBIC_LNC001139)". The record is from RNAcentral. Lineage: Eukaryota; Viridiplantae; Streptophyta; Magnoliopsida; Poales; Poaceae.